CAGUAGCCGCGGGAAUACGAAGGGGGCUAGCGUUGUUCGGAAUUACUGGGCGUAAAGCGCACGUAGGCGGAUAUUUAAGUCAGGGGUGAAAUCCCGCAGCUCAACUGCGGAACUGCCUUUGAUACUGGGUAUCUUGAGUAUGGAAGAGGUUAGUGGAAUUGCGAGUGUAGAGGUGAAAUUCGUAGAUAUUCGUAGGAACACCAGUGGCGAAGGCGGCUAACUGGUCCAUAACUGACGCUGAGGUGCGAAAGCGUGGGGAGCAAACAGGAUUAGAUACCCCUGUAGUCCCUGUCUCUUAUAC
RNAcentral lists this ribosomal RNA (301 nucleotides) under uncultured bacterium. Its description in RNAcentral is "partial 16S ribosomal RNA". It matches the Rfam family "Bacterial small subunit ribosomal RNA", at positions 509 to 807 of the family's 1533-position model. The record is from RNAcentral.